GAUGGUUAGGGUCAUAACUGAAGUUUAGAAAGAGGCGAAGAUAAGCAUCACUCAGACUCUCGCAAGAAACUGAAAAGAAUUGAAGAAAACACCAGGACGAUGAACAAAGGACUUCGACGUAUUUCUUUGUGUUUGGUUGUACUUUCUUGUUUUUUCUUGUUUCGUCAGAGUCAAGCGCAGUUUACGAGCUGCCUCGGAAACCACGGAAAGAGAGCUGAAGUGCCCUUAAAACCAAACAGGUUGCGGGAUAUCUGGGACCAAAAGUGUCAUAAUAACGAUCAAAUGGAUACAACACAGCGAUAUAGUAAAGAAAGAAGCACAAAGAAUACCUAGCAGAUUCCAGGAGGAUACUGACAGAGAUAUUCCUGAGGAAGAAUGAAAUCAAGAAGAACAAAUAAACGGAUUUCUAUUUUCAUGGCGAUGAAUGAAAGAGGAACCAUGAAAAAUACUCGCAUAUUUAUGCAAUGUAAUGUUAAAGUUUCUUAACCUAUUGUUUAAAACAGGUCUUUGAAAAUAUAAUAAAGAAGAUAUUCAUCGUUU
This is a long non-coding RNA of Actinia tenebrosa (Australian red waratah sea anemone), 540 nucleotides long. RefSeq lists it as uncharacterized. The record is from RefSeq and is a predicted model, not a curated record. NCBI's taxonomy places the organism in Eukaryota, Metazoa, Cnidaria, Anthozoa, Actiniaria, Actiniidae.